This 606-nucleotide unclassified non-coding RNA is filed under the name Hevea brasiliensis (rubber tree). The record is from RNAcentral. Lineage: Eukaryota; Viridiplantae; Streptophyta; Magnoliopsida; Malpighiales; Euphorbiaceae.
GCUUGCACUACUUCCCCUCGCUUUGGAAGCAGAUGAAAUUUUCUCUGAGAUAGUGUUACAAUUAGUAACAGAUGAUGGAGGAACAACUAAAGAAGCAUUAGUGAACAACUCUCUACGACAAUCUUUUGGCCUAAUUUCAAUGCCAUUUAGAUCUGCAUUGUCAACUUUAGUGCUCCCCGUUGCCUCCACCAAGAGAUCUUGUUUCCUUGACUUCUUGCGAAUAGAUCUCUUUCUAAAGACAAUGUCUGGAGAAACCUCUCCAUUAUCACUGCAGACCUCAGCAACAAAAGUGGCCUUCAGUUUUUUGCGGCUUGCAUUACUUUUCCCCGCUUUGUAGACAGAAGCAUCUUUCUCUGAGCUCGUGUUACAACUAGUAAGCGAUGAUGGAGGAACAACUAAAGAGGCAUUAGUGAACAACUCUCUGCGACAAUCUUUAAGCCCAAUUUCCUUCUCACUUGAAGUUGCACUGUCACCUUUAGUCUUCGCUGUUGCUUCUCCCGAGAGAUCUUUUUUCCUUGACUUGUUAAUAGAACUCUUUUCAUAGCCAAUGUCUCCACCGAGGAGAGGCUGCGAUGAAGAGCCUAACUUUCUUUUAACCAUCUUUUU